GGCCAAGAGAAAGAAAGAGGGUCUUCCUUCUUGAAGCUUGGGUUUUAGAGAGGAAAGGUUUCUCUUGGAGGCGUGCAAAGAAAGAAAAAAAAGGGUUUUCUUCUAUGGUGCGAAAAGGAAGAAAGAAGGAAGAGUUCCUUCUUGAAUUCAGAAUUUUUAAGGAAGAGAAAAGGUUUCUCUCAUGUAUGGAAAAAAAGAAAAAAAAAGAAAGAGUUCUUCACUAGAUCUCUAGUGU
Molecule: long non-coding RNA, 235 nt
Filed under: Elaeis guineensis (African oil palm)
Lineage: Eukaryota; Viridiplantae; Streptophyta; Magnoliopsida; Arecales; Arecaceae
Description: long non-coding RNA (EGUI_LNC042957)
Source: RNAcentral